CCUACGGGAGGCAGCAGUGAGGAAUAUUGGUCAAUGGACGAGAGUCUGAACCAGCCAAGUAGCGUGAAGGAUGACUGCCCUAUGGGUUGUAAACUUCUUUUAUAAAGGAAUAAAACGAGGCACGUGUGCCUUUUUGUCUGUACUUUAUGAAUAAGGAUCGGCUAACUCCGUGCCAGCAGCCGCGGUAAUACGGAGGAUCCGAGCGUUAUCCGGAUUUAUUGGGUUUAAAGGGAGCGUAGAUGGUUUGUUAAGUCAGUUGUGAAAGUUUGCGGCUCAACCGUAAAAUUGCAAUUGAUACUGGCAGUCUUGAGUACAGUUGAGGUAGGCGGAAUUCGUGGUGUAGCGAUGAAAUGCUUAGAUAUCACGAAGAACCCCGAUUGCGAAGGCAGCUUACUAGACUGUGACUGACAGUGAUGCUCGAAAGUGUGGGUAUCAAACAGGAUUAGAUACCCCGGUAGUC
RNAcentral lists this ribosomal RNA (460 nucleotides) under uncultured bacterium. Its description in RNAcentral is "partial 16S ribosomal RNA". It matches the Rfam family "Bacterial small subunit ribosomal RNA", at positions 338 to 795 of the family's 1533-position model. The record is from RNAcentral.